UUUAUAUGGCGAUUAACGAUAACGCUUUGUGAUAUGUCUGAUCAGUGGCGGAUCCAAAGGUUGUUCGAGGGAGGGGGCGGAUUUUAUGUAAAAAAAACCUUUUUUACUGACCUUAACUGAUUUGCUCGUAACUGUCUAACAUAUCAGUAUGAAAUUAUAUUUAUGACAGACUUUUGAUAAUGAAAAAUUCUAUUAUAUAUUAUUGUGUAAAAUAAUCACCCUGUAUCGCAUCGUACAGUCACGCACAGGCGAAUAAAAUCCUUCUAUAAAUAAAUGUAAAAUGUUGGUUAGUAGACACCGUUUCUGCAGUCACAACACGUCACAGUUAAAACACACGAUACGCGGGGAUUAACGUAAUUAAACGGUGUGACACAUUUUACUAAACAUUUGCCAAUUCGGCCUGUAUAAUCGAUUAGUUUUGUUUUCAAAUUUAAAUAUGUUACACGUCCCGUAUAGGUACCGCAUGAUUUCACGUGUAACAGAAUAUAGAUAUGACAUACUGUUAUUAUCUUUGGAAAACUGCAAUGUCGUUAUCGAAUAUCAUCGUGAAACUGAUAAGUGGCGGAUGUUAUUAACGUUAUCUUGUGUAGAAACAUCGUUGGUCUUCGAGAGAUUUUGAAAUUUAAGUCGCGUAAAGUGGCGUCUCUUAUUGCUGCCCUCUUCGUAAUUCAUCGUAGUCGGCGACGCUAACAGAAAAUCGUCGGAAGGGUAGGUACAUUUAAAAACGUAGGUAUACCUAUUAAAUUUUCCAACUUUCAAAAAUGUUUUUACACACAAUUUUCUCCUUUGAUAAAUGAUAAUGAUCAUACACCUAUAUUAUUAUUAUUAUUAUUAUUAUUACAUAUGGUAUAUAAUUUCAGCGUUAAUCAAUAUGAAAACAAUAUUGGGAGAUGUGAUGUUAUACCUUAUCGAAAUCUCCCCUUUGAGUAGUGUGCUUCUAGAGUAUCUUUUAAAGUCACAGUUUUGCGAACCUUGCGAUGAAUACACGAAACGAAAUAGCAUCAAAACGACAGCCAAACGCCUCUGAGCCUCUUAGCUUUUGCAUCCAAAAAAAAAUUCAUUCUCGAGGAGGGUUACCGGACAAGCUCAACCAACGUGUGACAAAAUAAUGUUUCCGAAAAAAAACCCCAU
This is a non-coding RNA of Cinara cedri, 1131 nucleotides long. Lineage: Eukaryota; Metazoa; Arthropoda; Insecta; Hemiptera; Aphididae. The record is from the annotation of a GenBank genome assembly.